CAGUCGUACCUGCGGACAAUCAGCUUUUUGAGUGUGAUUAUGUGGAUUGUGAGGAGUUUAAUCACCCUCAUGUUUUACGUAUUCGUGCUCUUGGGUGUACUUGCCCGUGUGGUAGGUUAACAUCAAUUUUGGUCGUCAUAAAAUGACUGGAGGAAUGUAGCUUUGGUCUCGUAUCGAAGUGUUAUAGACUCUGGUAGAUGUGACGAUUGGGAUUGAGGAUUGCAACGGAUACCCUUCGGGGCUACUCGUCUGAUCUCUGAAGGUUGCUCCGGUGCCGAAAGCGUGCUUACGGUCAUCGAAAGUGAUUUUCAAAAGGUUAGAACGGGUUAAAUUCGUUAAGGAUGUUGACGUAAUGGCUUUAAACGA
Molecule: ribosomal RNA, 366 nt
Filed under: uncultured Glomeraceae
Lineage: Eukaryota; Fungi; Glomeromycota; Glomeromycetes; Glomerales; Glomeraceae
Description: partial large subunit ribosomal RNA
Source: RNAcentral